RNAcentral lists this ribosomal RNA (433 nucleotides) under uncultured bacterium. RNAcentral's name for it is "partial 16S ribosomal RNA". It matches the Rfam family "Bacterial small subunit ribosomal RNA", at positions 29 to 507 of the family's 1533-position model. The record is from RNAcentral.
AACGAACGCUGGCGGCAUGCCUAACACAUGCAAGUCGAACGAGACCUUCGGGUCUAGUGGCGCACGGGUGCGUAACGCGUGGGAACCUGCCCUUAGGUUCGGAAUAACUCCCCGAAAGGGGUGCUAAUACCGGAUAAUGUCUUCGGACCAAAGAGUUAUCGCUUUUGGAUGGGCCCGGGUUGGAUUAGCUAGUUGGUAGGGUAAAAGCCUACCAAGGCGACGAUCCAUAGCUGGUCUGAGAGGAUGAUCAGCCACACUGGGACUGAGACACGGCCCAGACUCCUACGGGAGGCAGCAGUGGGGAAUAUUGGACGAUGAGCGCAAGCCUGAUCCAGCAGUGCCGCGUGAGUGAUGAAGGCCUUAGGGUUGUACAGCUCUUUUACCCGGGAUGAUAAUGACAGUACCGGGAGAAUAAGCUCCGGCUAACUCCGUG